CUCACUUGGCCUGUCUCAGGGCAGCAGUUGCUUGGUUACUACCUUAGGCCAGAGAUACGGGUCAACAUUUUCUUUCUUUUUUCUUUUUUUUUGUGCGGUACCGGGGAUUGAACUCAGGACCUUGUUCUUGCGAGGCAGGCACAGCGCCACUGAGCUAAAUCUCUGGCCCAAGCAAUGGUUGGAAAGGAACAUAAGGCGCUUUAGGCAAAUCUUGCAGUUGAAGAAACUGAGGCCCAGGAAUGAGGCUAAGGAUCUUGUCGAAAGUCACAUGAACGUCUAACAGGAAGGAUCCAGGAGAGAAGAGACUGUAACUACCGAUCACAUAUGUGAACUGCACCUCUCACUUCUGUCACAUUCUCAGCCUUACUUAUCCUCAGUAUAACCCUCAACCUUUGAAGAAGCCAGUGUCUCUGAGGAUACACCGAACCCCUUCAUAUUAUCUCCUUUCAUUUUCUAAAACAAUUUGCCUAAGGGGGCAUUUGGCAAUAUCUGGAAAUAUUUUUGCUUGUCCAAGUGGCAAAAGGGGGAGAAGUACUACUGGUAUCUGGUGUUGGAGAAGCCAGGGUUGCUGCUAAGCAGUCUACAAUGCACAGGGCAGUUGGCCCUGCCCAUAAUUACCACGUUCAAAAUCUCAACAGUACUGAGGCUGAGAAUCCCUACUUUAAACUUUUUUUUUUC
Fukomys damarensis (Damara mole-rat) is the source of this 678-nucleotide long non-coding RNA. RefSeq lists it as uncharacterized. The transcript is spliced from 3 exons. The record is from RefSeq and is a predicted model, not a curated record. NCBI's taxonomy places the organism in Eukaryota, Metazoa, Chordata, Mammalia, Rodentia, Bathyergidae.